RNAcentral lists this long non-coding RNA (5069 nucleotides) under Sus scrofa (pig). RNAcentral describes it as "lncRNA (ENSSSCG00040027440.1)". Lineage: Eukaryota; Metazoa; Chordata; Mammalia; Artiodactyla; Suidae. The record is from RNAcentral.
UUUUCAAUCUGCUUUGGACCAAAUCGGUUUCUGGUGCCACAAGCUAGACUUUUUAGCAAAUGCAAAUUUCCCGCUAGCAGGUUUGAGACAAAGGGAGUCAUAAGAAUUAGCAUUAAUCACAUAGCCUAGAGGAUUUGUUUUUUUUUUUUCUUCAGAUCCUAGUGCAAAGCUGCCCAAACAAUUAGUUCCCCUGAGAUCUGUUUUCAGAUGAAAAAUGUAAACACUCCUGUCAUUUCUGGACCAAAAGCCAAGCUGCCUCUCUGAAGGAAGAUGCACGUGUAAGAACUUCAUGCCAAGUAGUUCUAAAUUGGCCACAAAAACCCCUAGGGGCAUGGUGAUAGUGCCACAAAGCCUGCAAGUUUCCUUUUAAAAACCGCCUUCCCACCAGCUCCUUUCCAGGCACAUCUUUAUCAUCCGUGUGACACAUUAACAGGAAGCAUUAAUGUUACGCAGAUGCAUUAAGUCACACAAGCGGUUUGGUGCAUUUCGCUGGGACCUCAAUGCAUUACAGCACAGAGGUGUGCAGACAAAGCAAGGAGCAGGCUGUGUCGAUACCAUCCGAACCCGAGCUCUGAACACACAUUACCGAGAGCACAAUUACCCAGCCUGUGCUAUUAGGUCGCAUUAGCCACCAGCCCCCAUCCCUCCCAAUUAAUAAUUGAACUCAAUCCAUAUAGGAGUGCUCAGGCCGGGCUGGAAGAUGCCUUCUAGCAUGCAUUAGAAAGAAGCAUCUCCAGGGGCCUCAGAGCACUCUGUCCAUUUAACAAGUCAAUCUAUAAACUACAGUCAACCCUUGAUUAUUAGAAACUGAUGCCCACCCCCACUCCUGAAUGUUCCAUCUGCUUUGCUCUUCAUCUUUCCCCAACCUGGUACCUUCCUUCUAGACACAUACCAGCUUAUUACCCCACCCCUUGUCGUGGGUGCUCUGAUGCAUCCAUCGCCCAAGCCCCCUCAUGCCUGGAGGACUCGUUCUCCCAGCCACUGGGAGAGCCCUCAGCCCUGAGCCCUCUUUGGAAAUUGCCUCCGAUGAUGAACGACACGUCUCCCAAGAUCUUGUUCCUUCCCAGGGCAGCCACAUUGAAAGGAGUUCCCUGGUGGCUCAGCAGACUGAGGACCUGGCACUGUCACUGCUGUGUCCAGGUCCUUGCUGUGGCUCAGGUUCAGUCCCUGGCCUGGGAACUUCUGCAUACCAUGGGUGUGGAACAAAAAAAAAUUUUAACUAAAAAAAAAAAAGAGGAGGGGAGUUCCCGUGGCACUGUAUCCAUGAGGGUGUGGGUUCAAUCUCUGGCCUCACUCAGUGGGUUAAGGAUCCAGCGUUGCCAUGAGCUCAAGGGCAGGGAUCGAACCCACAACCUCAUGGUUCCUAGUCAGAUUCAUUAACCACUGCGCCAGGACCGGAACUCCUAGGCCUCUGUUCUGACUGCGAUGCAGCCCAGUUUCUCCCCAUCCAUCCCCGCGCUCUCUCCUCCCAUCAGAGAGAAUAGCAAUCCCGCUCCCCAGCCACCCUCCGGCACAUCAUCUCCAUCUCGGAGUUUGUGUCCCAGGGGACUCAACCUGCAACUGAAAAGAAAUACCUACACUUCACUUUCCACCUCGAAAGGCUGUCAGAGGCAUUACAUAAAAUAAGUAUGUAAAAGUUCCUUAUGAAGUACAACGGGUGUGAAAAACACUACCCUUCCCCUCUACGACACCAUUAGAUAAUAUGAGUUCAUUUGGGUUUUUUUGUAUUUUGGGUUUUUUUGCAUAUCAGGGCCACACUUGUGGCACUUGGAGGUUCCCAGGCUAGGAGUCGAAUCAGGGUUGCAGCUGCCAGCCUACACCACAGCCACAGCCCUGCCAGACCUGAGCUGCGUCUGCGACCUACACCACAGCUCAUGGCAAUGCCAGCUCCUUAACCCACUGAGCGAGGCCAGGGAUGAAACUCACACCUUCACGGGUACUAGUCGGGUUCUUAACUUGCUGAGCUACAACAGGAAGGCCCUAUAUGGGUUUUUACAUGGAACAAAUGAAAGUACAGAUUUCAAGUUUAUUUUUUUUAUUUAUUCAUUUUUUGGUCUUUGUGUCUUUUUAGGGCUGCACCGCAGCAUAUGGAAGUUCCCAGGUUAGGGAUCUAAUCAGAGCUGUGGCCACCAUCCUACACCAGAGCCACAGCAACGCAGGAUCUGAGCUGCAUCUGCGACCUACACCACAGCUCACAGCCACACCAGAUCCUCAACGCACUGAGCAAGGCCAGGGAUCAAACCUGCAACCUCAUGGUUCCUAGUCGGAUUUGUUUCUGCUGCACCACGACAGGAACUCCGGAUUUCAAGUUGAAAUAAAGCUAUCAGGCCCAAGCUUACUGAGGCUCAAAUUGAAAAAAUACCAACACUGAGUACCUUUAGUAUCUUCUUAUAGCCCUUAAAUUUUCAUCUAUUUAUGACGAGUCUUCCCAGCUUCCAGUUUUUUGGGGGGGAGGGUGGUGGUAGUGGUAAAAACACUUCUUCAAAAAGUGUCAAAAUAAUUUGGCACUUUGAGGUCAGCCAAAUAGCAUCACUGAGAAAAUCCUAUCACCGGUAUUUACAAAUCCACACGCAGAGUCUCAGCGCAGUAAAAACAGGAUAACAUGGGCCCACAAAGCCAGACUCUGCAAGCGCAAGGCCGGGGACGAAAGCUUUCAGCUUAGUGUUCCACUUAGGAAUGUCGCUUCCUCAGCAGACCACACGACAGAAAAUACAGACUUUUGAAUUUAACAAGGGAGCAAAAAAUGGCCCAGAGAGGAAGAGACCAGCGUUCAGAGAUGACCCCAGCUCCAGCCCUACCAGGGAUUCACAUGUGUACCAUCCACCCCAGGCCGCUGUCCUCACUGUGCCUCUGAGCUGUCCCAGGACAGAUGGAGCAAAAGCCCAGCCAGGAGAGGAUCAGAGCCAUCCUGACACCUCUCACUGGGGUAAGUACCCAGAGCCAAGGAAAAUGUCCUGGGACCCUCAACUUCUGCUCUUUGUUUUGGGGGUUCUUUUCCCCUUUAUUUAAAUGGCAGUUUUUUAACUACAAAAUGGGAAACUUGACCGUGAUCGUUUUAUUUCUUUUGCUUAAUUAAAAGGGAGUGGUGACAAAUGUUUAGAUUCAAUCGUAAGUACUACUCAUUCGGACUAACACACACCUGCCCUAUAGCACAAGCGAUGGCUGUAGGUUCAUGGGCAGGUAGAUGAUGAGUAGAGUCAGAGCGUAGAGGUGUGUGUGUGUGUGUGUGUGUGUGUGUGUGUGUGUGUGUGUGUGUGUACAGGUGUGUGCACACAUGUAUGCAUGAGCUGGGGCUGUGGAUAGGCAUUUUUCCUAGUGAUACAGAUAGCAGGGCUCCCGAACAAAUAAUAUAUGGGUUUUCAAUAGCAUAGGUAAGGGGUAAAAUAUACCUAGCGUAUUAUUCCCAAUUCUGCAGAUCUUUCCAACAGGACUUAUUUGUACAUAUAUACACAUAUAUAUACACACACAUAUAUAUACCUACAUAUAUAUAUAUUUUUUAAUGUAUUGAAGUUGGAGUUCCCAUCGUGGCGCAGCAGGAAGGAAUCCGACUAGGAACCAUGAGAUCAUGGGUUCGAUCCCUGGCCUCGCUCAGUGGGUUAAGGAUCCGGCAUUGCCAUGAGCUGUGGUGUAGGUUGCAGACGAGGCUCACAUGUAUCCGUUCGUUUUCAGAUUUGUUUCCCAUCUAGGUUAUCACAGAACAUUGGGUAGAGUUCCCUGUGCUGUAGAGCAGCAGCAGCACUUAUUUUUAUAGCGUCCUGUUUCUCCAUCUUCAAAUCGAGUGCCCAGUCCCCGUUCCAACUUUUAAUCUUGAGCCUGAGCUGAAAGUACCCAUGCGGCAUCAAAGUAAAACAACUUUCUUUCUUUUUACUUUUUGGCCACACCUGCAGCUUGUGGAAGUUCCCGGGGCCAGAGACUGAACCCACGCCACAGCAGCAACCCAAGACACUGCAGUGACAAGGCUGGGUCCUUAAUCCGCUGAGCCACAGAGGAACUCCGUAAAAUAACUUUCAAGACCCGCAAGAAAUAUUCACGUGUCUACAACCAUUAAUCCAAAAGACAAAGUCCAUCACAGCAGGCCCCAGAUGGCCUAAGAAAACGAACAACAAUUUUCCAGCAAAAUUAACUGCCCACAUUUGACCAUUGCAUGAAAGAGAAAUAUAUGGGGAAGAUGUGCUAAUCCAGUCUCAAGCAGAACCGAUGAAAAAAUGUAUUUUCUGGAAGUGUCCGGGCUUCAGGUCUUGGAAAGGACCUAAUUAUCCAUGAACUAAGGCUAGGGGACGAAUCAGGAGCUAUAGCUGCUGGCCUACGCCACAGCCACAGCAACACGGGAUCUGAGCCACAUCUUCGACAUACAUACACCGUAGCUCACAGCAACACCGGAUCCUUAACCCACUGAAUGAGGCCAGGGAUCGAACCUGCAUCCUUGCGGAUCUUAGUCAGGCUCGUUAACUGCUGAGCCAGGAAGGGAACUCCGAGAACCACAGUUUUUGCUGAGAAUCUCAACUACUAUGUUUUGUUUUGUUUUUUUUGUCUGAGCCCCAGGCAUAUGGAAGUUCCCCAGCCAGGGAUCGAACCCACACCACAGCAGUAACCAGAGGCACAGCAGUGACAACACCAGAUCCUUAAUCCACUGAGCCACCAGGGAACUAACUCUUCAACUACCACGUUCACUGAAUUGGGGAAUUGAAUCCAAUAUAAUGAAGGUUAAAUGUCAGCCCCGCCAGAGAGGGUGGGAAUCCCUGGAAUGGGCUGAGAAGUUCAGAAUUUCCAUUCACAGAGUAAUUGUAGAAUAUUUGUGUAAGGGGGAAAUUGCACCUAAUGGAAAAUCAUAAGUACAAAGAAAACACAUUUAAAUGAAGUGUGGUUACCUCUAUUCACUUUACAAGAUUUUGUCUUUUAAAAAUCAUCUGAAAUCAUUUUCCCUUCAAUACAUAGUUCAGUGCAGGGUGUAGGUUUGGAAUCUGCAGAAAUGUUGUACCUGGGUUUUGAACUCUACAGAGUUCUGAAAAUGCUCAAGACCCCACCUUAAAGUCAUCCAACCAAUGCCUCUUCUUGUAGGACCCUGUCUG